CCUACGGGUGACAGCAGUGAGGAAUAUUGGUCAAUGGGCGCGAGCCUGAACCAGCCAAGUCGCGUGAGGGAGGACGGCCCUACGGGUUGUAAACCUCUUUUGCCGGGGAGCAACGGGCACCACGUGUGGCGUCACUGAGAGUACCCGGAGAAAAAGCAUCGGCAAACACCGUGCCAGCAGCCGCGGUAAUACGGGGGAUGCGAGCGUUAUCCGGAUUUAUUGGGUUAAAAGGGUGCGUAGGCGGAUCGUUAAGUCAGUGGUCAAAUUGAGGGGCUCAACCCCUUCCCGCCAUUGAAACUGGCGUUCUUGAGUGGAAGAGAGGUAUGCGGAAUGCGUGGUGUAGCGGUGAAAUGCAUAGAUAUCACGCAGAACCCCGAUUGCGAAGGCAGCAUGCCGGCUUCCGACUGACGCUGAAGCACGAAAGCGUGGGGAUCGAACAGGAUUAGAUACCCCGGUAGUC
RNAcentral lists this ribosomal RNA (460 nucleotides) under uncultured bacterium. RNAcentral describes it as "partial 16S ribosomal RNA". It matches the Rfam family "Bacterial small subunit ribosomal RNA", at positions 338 to 795 of the family's 1533-position model. The record is from RNAcentral.